AUGCACGCUGGCGGCGUGCCUAAUACCUGCAAGUCGAGCGAACAGACGAGGAGCUUGCUCCUCUGACGUUAGCGGCGGACGGGUGAGUAACACGUGGAUAACCUACCUAUAAGACUGGGAUAACUUCGGGAAACCGGAGCUAAUACCGGAUAAUAUAUUGAACCGCAUGGUUCAAUAGUGAAAGACGGUUUUGCUGUCACUUAUAGAUGGAUCCGCGCCGCAUUAGCUAGUUGGUAAGGUAACGGCUUACCAAGGCAACGAUGCGUAGCCGACCUGAGAGGGUGAUCGGCCACACUGGAACUGAGACACGGUCCAGCCUCCUACGGGAGGCAGCAGUAGGGAAUCUUCCGCAAUGGGCGAAAGCCUGACGGAGCAACGCCGCGUGAGUGAUGAAGGUCUUCGGAUCGUAAAACUCUGUUAUUAGGGAAGAACAAAUGUGUAAGUAACUAUGCACGUCUUGACGGUACCUAAUCAGAAAGCCACGGCUAACUACGUG
Molecule: ribosomal RNA, 496 nt
Filed under: uncultured bacterium
Lineage: Bacteria
Description: partial 16S ribosomal RNA
Rfam family: Bacterial small subunit ribosomal RNA
Source: RNAcentral